RNAcentral lists this ribosomal RNA (363 nucleotides) under uncultured bacterium. RNAcentral describes it as "partial 16S ribosomal RNA". It matches the Rfam family "Bacterial small subunit ribosomal RNA", at positions 523 to 888 of the family's 1533-position model. The record is from RNAcentral.
AUACGGAGGAUGCGAGCGUUAUCCGGAUUUAUUGGGUUUAAAGGGAGCGUAGGUGGGAUAUUAAGUCAGCUGUGAAAGUUUGGGGCUCAACCUUAAAAUUGCAGUUGAUACUGGUUUCCUUGAGUACGGUACAGGUGGGCGGAAUUCGUGGUGUAGCGGUGAAAUGCUUAGAUAUCACGAAGAACUCCGAUCGCGAAGGCAGCUCACCGGGCCGGAACUGACACUGAUGCUCGAAAGUGCGGGUAUCAAACAGGAUUAGAUACCCUGGUAGUCCACACAGUAAACGAUGAAUACUCGCUGUUUGCGAUAUACAGUAAGCGGCCAAGCGAAAGCAUUAAGUAUUCCACCUGGGGAGUACGCCGG